GGGGAAGUAGCUCAGAUGGUAGAGCAAUGUUUACGCUUAACAGUGGUUCGAGGUUUGAUUCCUUGCUUCUCCA
This 73-nucleotide transfer RNA is filed under the name Daucus carota subsp. sativus. Its description in RNAcentral is "tRNA trnX-acg". It matches the Rfam family "tRNA". From Rfam's summary of the family: Transfer RNA (tRNA) molecules are approximately 80 nucleotides in length. Their secondary structure includes four short double-helical elements and three loops (D, anti-codon, and T loops). Further hydrogen bonds mediate the characteristic L-shaped molecular structure. tRNAs have two regions of fundamental functional importance: the anti-codon, which is responsible for specific mRNA codon recognition, and the 3' end, to which the tRNAs corresponding amino acid is attached (by aminoacyl-tRNA synthetases). tRNAs cope with the degeneracy of the genetic code in two manners: having more than one tRNA (with a specific anti-codon) for a particular amino acid; and 'wobble' base-pairing, i.e. permitting non-standard base-pairing at the 3rd anti-codon position. The record is from Rfam by way of RNAcentral. Lineage: Eukaryota; Viridiplantae; Streptophyta; Magnoliopsida; Apiales; Apiaceae.